GACAAAGUUAUUAAACCCCUUUGGCCUUCAGCUUCAGCAUCACUUCCACGGCAGUGCCCUGGGCAGAGUGUUUCUGAGUCCCUGUUGUUGGCCAGGCCCUGGGUGGGGUGCUGGGGGCUCGGGGCAGGGAGACGGAACCCACCUCAAGUCUGGAAAGGCAGAUGGGCAGGGCCUCUCCUCCUGACUGUCCCCGUCAUGGCUGCCUUGCACAGGCCACUGCCCCCUCCCCUCCCUGAUGCCACAGGCCAGUCAGAUGAUGGAAGGUUCCCGAAUGCCAGGGCACCACACAGAUGGAAGCUGUCAUCGGCACUGUCAUAACUGCAACCCUUCGCAGGCCAGUCUGGAAGCAAAAGGCCAGAAAAGAGAGAAGGAGCUAGUGUCAUUUCCGAGCUGGCGAGUGCUAAUGUGACACAAUAGUCACUAUUUAAAUCCCAGGACUUUGGGGAAUUUGAAAUAUAUUUUACUUAAAUGUUGAAUGACUACAACCCAAAGUAUUAUUUCAGGUGCAUGUUUUAAAUCAGGCUUUUCAUCUUGCGCUGUAGGUGGCUGAGUUUGUACAGUCUCUGCUGGGCUACGAAGAACAUGCCAAGUGCUUCAAGAAAGAGGGUAAUUUUGUUUUUCCUUGACUGGGAGAGAUUGAGGCUGCAGUGGACCUGGCGGGCUCCCAGAGAGGGUGGAGGAUGGGGAGAAAGGGCUCAGGAACAUGCCUGGAGGAGCCCUGUGUCCCAGACCUGGCAGAGAAGACCUGACAAGGACAGCAGAGGGUCAGGCAGGAGCCAGGAGAACUUCGAGUCUCAGUCAGGCUCCAUCUCAGCUGAUCCAUUCAGGAAAUGGGAAGAAUGCUACCUGACCCACAGUCCUACACACACUGAGUAGGGGUUUGUGACUCCUGACAGCCAGGCCGGCCCUCUGUGGCCCGGGUGCAGGGCCCAUCCUGCGCCUUGUCCUCACCUCCCUGAGUGUCAGGGGCUCUCUGAUGCAUUUGCUCGCCACCUCAUCCUUGCAUUCCGAGGACCGGAACCCCCGAACCUUGGAGCUGUCACCCUGCCCUUGGCCAUCAGCUCAGGUCUUCAGAUCCCAGUUUCCCUCCUUCUCCUGCACUGUCCUCCCCUCAGGGCGGCCCUGUGUCUUCUGUCCUCUGAUUCAGGACUCACUCCUCUAAAGGACCUGGGCCAGGAGCCUGGCCCCAGAGCCCCAGGUCAUCCCCAAUAUGCAGAAACCGGAGUUGCCAUGUGAGCAGCUGCUGUGGAGGAGAAAACUGCUCCUCCAUGUCUAGACCUUUGGCCUCCUUCCCUCUGCCCUCUGUUGACUGGCGCGGUCAAUCAGGGCUGCUGGACACUGUUUGUGGCACUGCUCCAGGCAUCCAGGGCAGCAGCACCCGCCACGUGUGGCUAUUUAAAUUUAAUUAGUUAGAUUUACAUUAAAUAAUGCAGCUCCUUGGACCUGAAACCAAUGCCAUGUGAGACAUCCAUUAUCUCUAAAAUAAAAAAAAUUUUAAAAACCCUUUCA
This 1509-nucleotide long non-coding RNA is filed under the name Sus scrofa (pig). RNAcentral describes it as "lncRNA (ENSSSCG00015037238.1)". The record is from RNAcentral. Lineage: Eukaryota; Metazoa; Chordata; Mammalia; Artiodactyla; Suidae.